CCUACGAGUGGCAGCAGUGGGGAAUAUUGGGCAAUGGGCGCAAGCCUGACCCAGCAAUGCCGCGUGAAGGAAGAAGGCUUUCGGGUUGUAAACUUCUUUGACAGGGGAAGAGCAGAAGACGGUACCCUGAAAACAAGCCACGGCUAACUACGUGCCAGCAGCCGCGGUAAUACGGAGGUGGCAAGCGUUGUCCGGAUGUACUGGGUGUAAAGGGCGUGUAGCCGGGAAGGCAAGUCAGAUGUGAAAUCUGGAGGCUCAACCUCCAAAUUGCAUUUGAAACUGUUUUUCUUGAGUACUGGGGAGGCAGACGGAAUUCCUUGUGUAGCGGUGAAAUGCGUAGAUAUAAGGAGGAACACCAGUGGCGAAGGCGGUCUGCUGGACAGCCACUGACGGUGAGGCGCGAAAGCGUGGGGAGCAAACAGGAUUAGAUACCCUUGUAGUC
Molecule: ribosomal RNA, 442 nt
Filed under: uncultured bacterium
Lineage: Bacteria
Description: partial 16S ribosomal RNA
Rfam family: Bacterial small subunit ribosomal RNA
Source: RNAcentral